RNAcentral lists this ribosomal RNA (468 nucleotides) under uncultured bacterium. Its description in RNAcentral is "partial 16S ribosomal RNA". It matches the Rfam family "Bacterial small subunit ribosomal RNA", at positions 28 to 507 of the family's 1533-position model. The record is from RNAcentral.
GACGGACGCUGGCGGCGUGCUUAACACAUGCAAGUCGAACGGAAAGGCCCUGCUUUUGUGGGGUGCUCGAGUGGCGAACGGGUGAGUAACACGUGAGUAACCUGCCCUUGACUUUGAGAUAACUUCAGGAAACUGGGGCUAAUACCGGAUAGGAGCUCCUGCUGCAUGGUGGGGGUUGGAAAGUUUCGGCGGUUGGGGAUGGACUCGCGGCUUAUCAGCUUGUUGGUGGGGUAGUGGCUUACCAAGGCUUUGACGGGUAGCCGGCCUGAGAGGGUGACCGGCCACAUUGGGACUGAGAUACGGCCCAGACUCCUACGGGAGGCAGCAGUGGGGAAUAUUGCACAAUGGGCGGAAGCCUGAUGCAGCAACGCCGCGUGCGGGAUGACGGCCUUCGGGUUGUAAACCGCUUUCGCCUGUGACGAAGCGUGAGUGACGGUAAUGGGUAAAGAAGCACCGGCUAACUACGUG